CAGCAAGCAUAUAUCAUAGAAAAAAAUUAAGACACCAAUAUUUACAUGCUUCGAUGAUCAAGAACGAUCCUCUUACAUCCAUGGGGAGAGCAUCGAUGAAGAUAUCACUAUCAAAAAUAAAAGUACAAUGAGAAGAGACCUUACACCAUCAUCGAUCGUCUUCUUGGAUGAAAUCAGAGGCUUUAUCUUCUUCUCAACAAUUGCUUCAAGCCAAGCCAAGCACCACAAUGCAAAAAAAAAAAAACACUUUAGAUUCUUCUCAACUCAUACCUCUAU
RNAcentral lists this long non-coding RNA (276 nucleotides) under Elaeis guineensis (African oil palm). RNAcentral describes it as "long non-coding RNA (EGUI_LNC001201)". Lineage: Eukaryota; Viridiplantae; Streptophyta; Magnoliopsida; Arecales; Arecaceae. The record is from RNAcentral.